Molecule: long non-coding RNA, 912 nt
Organism: Pelmatolapia mariae (spotted tilapia)
Lineage: Eukaryota; Metazoa; Chordata; Actinopteri; Cichliformes; Cichlidae
Exons: 3
Source: RefSeq, a predicted model, not a curated record
UUCAUCAACAUGGAACUGCUUACUUUCCACUCCUUUUAUACCCAGCACAUGGCACCUCCAUCCCCACCCAACAUACACACACACACUUCACUGCCAACCAACCACUAUACCCAGCCUAAAACACACAUACUCACUCCACUGCCAUCACUGUUCAAUUUCGAAUAUUUUUGGAAACGAAUAUAUAGCGUUUUGGAAAAGAGCUUUUUAAAUUUUAAUGAUCUUCUUUGGCUUAAUUUUUCCAGAUUCCUGCUUGCCCAGUAACUCUGAUUGACUUCUCUUCAGCAAAGUCAAAAAAACGAAAGCUUGAGUGUUCCAUUGAUGGCUGCACAAGUACACAAAAGUUAUGGAUGCAAACAUGAAGCACAAGCCAGAGGAGCAUAUGAGAAGCUUAUGAGCCAGGAGCAUGCAGGCUUCUCAUGUAUGGACAGCGGUCUCUGGCUGAACCCCAAGUGGCCAUACAUGGGGUCCUCCCCUGAUGGGAUAGUCACUUGUGACUGUCAUGGAACUGGCAUCUGCGAGAUUAAGUGCCCACACUCUCAGAAAGAUGCGGUCAACCUGCGCAUGCGUGCUGGGGAGAAGGGCUUCUGCCUCAUCAGUGACGGGGAUAAUGUCACACUGGACCCAACUCAUGACUACUAUUACCAAAUUCAGGCACAGCUUCACAUUGCAAAUGCAGAGUACUGUGACUUUGUUGUGUGGAACCGCAAUGACAUAUUUGUUGAAAGGAUUUUGCCUGACCUUGAGUUUUGGGAUGAUGCGAUUCCUAAAGUUGAGUGUUUUUUUAGAAACAGUAUACUCCCAGAAAUACUGGGACAGCAAGUUACAAACAUACAUGUGUAAUGUGAUAAAAGGACGACAACAUAAUGACAUUUUGAAUAUUGUUAUGACCUGAUGGUAGUCAUUAUGAGUUCU